AGGACGAACGCUGGCGGCGUGCUUAACACAUGCAAGUCGAACGGACCGAGUUGAUAGCUUGCUAUUGAUGAGGUUAGUGGCAAACGGGUGAGUAACGCGUAGGCAACCUGCCCUUCAGAUGGGGACAACACCUCGAAAGGGGUGCUAAUACCGAAUGACGUUCCUGGUCGCAUGACCUGGAAACCAAAGGCCGGGCAACCGGUCACUGAAGGAUGGGCCUGCGUCUGAUUAGCUAGUUGGUGGGGUAACGGCCCACCAAGGCGACGAUCAGUAGCCGGUCUGAGAGGAUGAACGGCCACAUUGGGACUGAGACACGGCCCAAACUCCUACGGGAGGCAGCAGUGGGGAAUCUUCCGCAAUGGGCGCAAGCCUGACGGAGCAACGCCGCGUGAGUGAAGAAGGUUUUCGGAUCGUAAAGCUCUGUUGAGAGGGACGAGAGAUAUAAUCAGGAAAUGGGUUAUAGAGGACGGUACCUUUCGAGGAAGCCACGGCUAACUACGUG
This 502-nucleotide ribosomal RNA is filed under the name uncultured bacterium. RNAcentral describes it as "bacterial SSU rRNA". It matches the Rfam family "Bacterial small subunit ribosomal RNA", at positions 26 to 507 of the family's 1533-position model. The record is from RNAcentral.